This 412-nucleotide ribosomal RNA is filed under the name Enterococcus faecalis. RNAcentral describes it as "bacterial LSU rRNA". It matches the Rfam family "Bacterial large subunit ribosomal RNA", at positions 1743 to 2131 of the family's 2925-position model. Lineage: Bacteria; Bacillati; Bacillota; Bacilli; Lactobacillales; Enterococcaceae. The record is from RNAcentral.
AAGGGGGGCCUCUGUUGGUAAGCAAAAAAGCGAAGCUGAUGGAGGCCGCAGAGAAAUGGCUCUUCCAACUGUUUAACAAAAACACAGGUCUCUGCAAAGUCGAAAGACGAUGUAUAGGGGCUGACGCCUGCCCAGUGCUGGAAGGUUAAGGGGAGAGGUUAGGGCGAUGGCGACAUCGCGCGAAGCUUUGAACCGAAGCCCCAGUGAACGGCGGCCGUAACUAUAACGGUCCUAAGGUAGCGAAAUUCCUUGUCGGGUAAGUUCCGACCCGCACGAAUGGAGUAACGAUUUGAACGCUGUCUCGGAGAGAGGCUCGGCGAAAUAGGAUUGUCUGUGAAGAUACGGACUAGGCGUGCCAGGACAGAAAGACCCUAUUGAGCUUUACUGCAGGCUGAUAUUGUCUGCGGGCUAU